GAAUGUGGAGCCGUAGCGAAAGCGAGUCUGAAUAGGGCGUUGAGUAUUUGGUCGUAGACCCGAAACCAGGUGAUCUACCCUUGGUCAGGUUGAAGUUCAGGUAACACUGAAUGGAGGACCGAACCGACUUACGUUGAAAAGUGAGCGGAUGAACUGAGGGUAGCGGAGAAAUUCCAAUCGAACUUGGAGAUAGCUGGUUCUCUCCGAAAUAGCUUUAGGGCUAGCCUCAAGUGAUGAUUAUUGGAGGUAGAGCACUGUUUGGACGAGGGGCCCCUCUCGGGUUACCGAAUUCAGACAAACUCCGAAUGCCAAUCAAUUUAACUUGGGAGUCAGAACAUGGGUGAUAAGGUCCGUGUUCGAAAGGGAAACAGCCCAGACCACCAGCUAAGGUCCCAAAAUAUAUGUUAAGUGGAAAAGGAUGUGGCGUUGCCCAGACAACUAGGAUGUUGGCUUAGAAGCAGCCAUCAUUUAAAGAGUGCGUAAUAGCUCACUAGUCGAGUGACACUGCGCCGAAAAUGUACCGGGGCUAAACAUAUUACCGAAGCUGUGGAUUGUCCUUCGGACAAUGGUAGGAGAGCGUUCUAAGGGCGUUGAAGCAUGAUCGCAAGGACAUGUGGAGCGCUUAGAAGUGAGAAUGCCGGUGUGAGUAGCGAAAGACGGGUGAGAAUCCCGUCCACCGAUUGACUAAGGUUUCCAGAGGAAGGCUCGUCCGCUCUGGGUUAGUCGGGUCCUAAGCUGAGGCCGACAGGCGUAGGCGAUGGAUAACAGGUUGAUAUUCCUGUACCACCUAGUAUCGUUUUAAUCGAUGGGGGGACGCAGUAGGAUAGGCGAAGCGUGCUGUUGGAGUGCACGUCCAAG
Molecule: ribosomal RNA, 858 nt
Filed under: Staphylococcus capitis
Lineage: Bacteria; Bacillati; Bacillota; Bacilli; Caryophanales; Staphylococcaceae
Description: partial 23S ribosomal RNA
Rfam family: Bacterial large subunit ribosomal RNA
Source: RNAcentral